AUUGAACGCUGGCGGCAUGCCUUACACAUGCAAGUCGAACGGUAACAGGUCUUCGGAUGCUGACGAGUGGCGAACGGGUGAGUAAUACAUCGGAACGUGCCUAGUAGUGGGGGAUAACUACUCGAAAGAGUGGCUAAUACCGCAUGAGAUCUACGGAUGAAAGCAGGGGAUCGCAAGACCUUGUGCUACUAGAGCGGCCGAUGGCAGAUUAGGUAGUUGGUGGGAUAAAAGCUUACCAAGCCGACGAUCUGUAGCUGGUCUGAGAGGACGAUUAGCCACACUGGGACUGAGACACGGCCCAGGCUCCUACGGGAGGCAGCAGUGGGAAAUUUUGGACAAUGGGCGAAAGCCUGAUCCAGCAAUGCCGCGUGCAGGAUGAAGGCCUUCGGGUUGUAAACUGCUUUUGUACGGAACGAAAAGCCCCGGGUUAAUACCCUGGGGUCAUGACGGUACCGUAAGAAUAAGCACCGGCUAACUACGUGCCAGCAGCCGCCGUAA
RNAcentral lists this ribosomal RNA (498 nucleotides) under uncultured bacterium. RNAcentral's name for it is "partial 16S ribosomal RNA". It matches the Rfam family "Bacterial small subunit ribosomal RNA", at positions 30 to 523 of the family's 1533-position model. The record is from RNAcentral.